CAGCCAAGGGUGAUUUGCCGG
RNAcentral lists this microRNA (21 nucleotides) under Glycine max (soybean). Its description in RNAcentral is "gma-miR169n-5p". Its record names the gene gma-miR169n-5p. RNAcentral also lists the same sequence under 1 other name. Lineage: Eukaryota; Viridiplantae; Streptophyta; Magnoliopsida; Fabales; Fabaceae. The record is from miRBase by way of RNAcentral.